GGCAGACCCAGGGAACUGAAACAUCUAAGUACCUGGAGGAAGAGAAAGAAAAAUCGAUUUCCUGAGUAGCGGCGAGCGAAACGGAAAGAGCCCAAACCAAGAAGCUUGCUUCUUGGGGUUGUAGGACACUCUAUACGGAGUUACAAAAGAAAGUUAUAAAUGAAGCGGUCUGGAAAGGCCCGCCAAAGACGGUAACAGCCCGGUAGUUGAAAUGGCUUUCCCUCCAGAGUGGAUCCUGAGUACGGCGGAACACGUGAAAUUCCGUCGGAAUCCGGGAGGACCAUCUCCCAAGGCUAAAUACUCCCUAGUGACCGAUAGUGAACCAGUACCGUGAGGGAAAGGUGAAAAGCACCCCGGAAGGGGAGUGAAACAGUUCCUGAAACCGUGUGCCUACAAGUAGUUAGAGCCCGUUAAUGGGUGAUAGCGUGCCUUUUGUAGAAUGAACCGGCGAGUUACGAUUUGUUGCAAGGUUAAGCGGAAAAAGCGGAGCCGUAGCGAAAGCGAGUCUGAAUAGGGCGCAUAAGUAACAGGUCGUAGACCCGAAACCAGGUGAUCUACCCAUGUCCAGGAUGAAGGUAAGGUAAUACUUACUGGAGGUCCGAACCCACGCACGUUGAAAAGUGCGGGGAUGAGGUGUGGGUAGCGGAGAAAUUCCAAUCGAACUUGGAGAUAGCUGGUUCUCUCCGAAAUAGCUUUAGGGCUAGCCUCGAGGUAAAGAGUCAUGGAGGUAGAGCACUGUUUGGACUAGGGGCCCUUCUCGGGUUACCGAAUUCAGAUAAACUCCGAAUGCCAUGUACUUAUACUCGGGAGUCAGACUGCGAGUGAUAAGAUCCGUAGUCGAAAGGGAAACAGCCCAGACCACCAGUUAAGGUCCCCAAAUAUAUGUUAAGUGGAAAAGGAUGUGGGGUUGCUUAGACAACCAGGAUGUUGGCUUAGAAGCAGCCACCAUUGAAAGAGUGCGUAAUAGCUCACUGGUCGAGUGACCCCGCGCCGAAAAUGUACCGGGGCUAAACAUAUUACCGAAACUGUGGAUGAACCUCUUCGGA
This 1046-nucleotide ribosomal RNA is filed under the name Listeria monocytogenes. RNAcentral describes it as "partial 23S ribosomal RNA". It matches the Rfam family "Bacterial large subunit ribosomal RNA", at positions 178 to 1219 of the family's 2925-position model. Lineage: Bacteria; Bacillati; Bacillota; Bacilli; Caryophanales; Listeriaceae. The record is from RNAcentral.